Molecule: ribosomal RNA, 739 nt
Filed under: Stenotrophomonas sp. NOE10
Lineage: Bacteria; Pseudomonadati; Pseudomonadota; Gammaproteobacteria; Lysobacterales; Lysobacteraceae
Description: bacterial SSU rRNA
Rfam family: Bacterial small subunit ribosomal RNA
Source: RNAcentral
CUGGCUCAGAGUGAACGCUGGCGGUAGGCCUAACACAUGCAAGUCGAACGGCAGCACAGAGGAGCUGCUCCUUUGGGUGGCGAGUGGCGGACGGGUGAGGAAUACAUCGGAAUCUACUCUGUCGUGGGGGAUAACGUAGGGAAACUUACGCUAAUACCGCAUACGACCUACGGGUGAAAGCAGGGGAUCUUCGGACCUUGCGCGAUUGAAUGAGCCGAUGUCGGAUUAGCUAGUUGGCGGGGUAAAGGCCCACCAAGGCGACGAUCCGUAGCUGGUCUGAGAGGAUGAUCAGCCACACUGGAACUGAGACACGGUCCAGACUCCUACGGGAGGCAGCAGUGGGGAAUAUUGGACAAUGGGCGCAAGCCUGAUCCAGCCAUACCGCGUGGGUGAAGAAGGCCUUCGGGUUGUAAAGCCCUUUUGUUGGGAAAGAAAUCCAGCCGGCUAAUACCUGGUUGGGAUGACGGUACCCAAAGAAUAAGCACCGGCUAACUUCGUGCCAGCAGCCGCGGUAAUACGAAGGGUGCAAGCGUUACUCGGAAUUACUGGGCGUAAAGCGUGCGUAGGUGGUCGUUUAAGUCCGUUGUGAAAGCCCUGGGCUCAACCUGGGAACUGCAGUGGAUACUGGACGACUAGAGUGUGGUAGAGGGUAGCGGAAUUCCUGGUGUAGCAGUGAAAUGCGUAGAGAUCACGAGGAACAUCCAUGGCGAAUGCAGCUACCUGGACCAACCCUGACACU